CCUGUAUUACCGAAGCUAUGGAUUUCAUAGUAAUAUGAUUUGGUAGGGGAGCAUUCUAUUCAGCGUUGAAGGUGCAUGGUGAUGUGUGCUGGAGCGGAUAGAAAAGCAAAUGUAGGAAUAAGUAACGAUAAUGCAGGCGAGAAACCUGCACACCGAUAGACUAAGGUUUCCUGAGCGACGCUAAUCGUCUCAGGGUUAGUCGGGACCUAACGCGGACCCGAAGGGGGUAGUGGAUGGAUAAUGGGUUAAUAUUCCCAUACUUGUUAUAACUGCGAUGGGGUGACGGAGUGAUGAAAGAACCGCGGACUGACGGAAUAGUUCGUUAAAGCCAGUAACUAUAGGACCUGUAGGCAAAUCCGCAGGUCUUGGUGAAGGUGAUAGUACCAAGAGGCUUCGGCCAAUUGGAUAGUGUUCCUAAGGGCUUCCAAGAAAAACCUCUAAGCUUCAGGUUAUAGCAACUCGUACCGCAAACCGACACAGGUAGUCAAGGAGAGAAUCCUAAGGUGCUCGAGUGAAUCAUGGCUAAGGAACUAGGCAAAAUGGUCUCGUAACUUCGGGAGAAGAGACGCCAACAGCAAUGUUGGCCGCAGUAAAUAGGCCCAGGCAACUGUUUAUCAAAAACACAUGGCUUUGCAAAAUCGAAAGAUGACGUAUAAGGCCUGACACCUGCCCGGUGCUGGAAGGUUAAGAGGAGAUGUUAGUUUCGGCGAAGCAUUGAAUUGAAGCCCCAGUAAACGGCGGCCGUAACAAUAACGGUCCUAAGGUAGCGAAAUUCCUUGUCGGGUAAGUUCCGACCUGCACGAAUGGUGUAAUGAUCUGGGUACUGUCUCAGCCAUGAGCUCGGUGAAAUUGUAGUAUCGGUGAAGAUGCCGAUUACCCGCAACGGGACGAAAAGACCCCGUGAACCUUUACUAUAGCUUCACAUUGACAUUGGGUAAUUCAUGUGUAGGAUAGGUGGGAGACGUUGAGGCUGCAUCGCCAGGUGUAGUUUAGUCGUCCUUGAAAUACCACCCUUGAAUUAUCUGAUGUCUAACGCUUACUAGUCGUAAGCGAACAUUGUGUGGUGGGUAGUUUGACUGGGGUGGUCGCCUCCAAAAGAGUAACGGAGGCUCCUAAAGGUACCCUCAGCACGCUUGGUAACCGUGCGUAGAGUGUAAUGGCAUAAGGGUGCUUGACUGAGAGACCGACAAGUCGAUCAGGUAGGAAACUAGAGCAUAGUGAUCCGGUGGUUCCGCAUGGAAGGGCCAUCGCUCAAAGGAUAAAAGGUACUCCGGGGAUAACAGGCUGAUCACUCCCAAGAGCUCA
RNAcentral lists this ribosomal RNA (1305 nucleotides) under metagenome. Its description in RNAcentral is "bacterial LSU rRNA". It matches the Rfam family "Bacterial large subunit ribosomal RNA", at positions 1185 to 2502 of the family's 2925-position model. The record is from RNAcentral.